This 492-nucleotide long non-coding RNA is filed under the name Phoenix dactylifera (date palm). Its description in RNAcentral is "long non-coding RNA (PDAC_LNC005812)". Lineage: Eukaryota; Viridiplantae; Streptophyta; Magnoliopsida; Arecales; Arecaceae. The record is from RNAcentral.
UUGAGAAGCUGUGUUUUCUGUUUGUACCUUUUAUUUUCACCUGGUCUUUACUUGGUUCAAUCGGAGGAUUGAAUCGAGGGUAUUGAGGUUGGUUGGUGAGCCGAGUGUAAAACCAACGUGUGUAAGGGUUCGAUUGUGAUCCCGGGAAAACAAUCGGGGCGGUUCUAGUCGGUGAGCCAGGGAAAAUCGAUCGAGUUCGUUGUGAGCUCGUAAAACAACAAGUUUGGUUGUGAGCUUGGAAAACAACCAGCUGUAAUCCAAGGGAUUAUAGUGAAUUCCCAAGUGAGACUUGGGGAGUGGACGUAGGAGCAAGGGUUAGCUCCGAACCACUAUAAAACUUGGUGUUUGUGAUUGAUUGUCUCUCUUUCUCUUACUCUCAUAUCACUCACAGCACAUAGCAAUUAAUUAAACAACUUGCAAUAGUUUUAAUUAGUCAUCCACAACGUUUUAAAUAGCUAAAUUAUUUUAAAACCCAAUUCACCCCCCCCCCCC